AACGCGAAGAACCUUACCUGGGCUUGACAUGUCCCUGACAGCCGUGGAAACACGGUUUCCCUUCGGGGCAGGGUCACAGGUGGUGCAUGGCUGUCGUCAGCUCGUGUCGUGAGAUGUUGGGUUAAGUCCCGCAACGAGCGCAACCCCCGUCGCAUGUUGCCAGCAUUUAGUUGGGGACUCAUGCGAGACCGCCGGUGACAAACCGGAGGAAGGUGGGGAUGACGUCAAGUCAUCAUGCCCCUUAUGCCCAGGGCUACACACGUGCUACAUUGGCGCGUACAGAGGGCUGCGAUACCGCGAGGUGGAGCGAAUCCCUUAAAGCGCGUCUCGGUUCGGAUUGCAGGCUGAAACUCGCCUGCAUGAAGGCGGAGUUGCUAGUAAUCGCGGAUCAGCAUUGCCGCGGUGAAUACGUUCCCGGGCCUUGUA
RNAcentral lists this ribosomal RNA (426 nucleotides) under uncultured Actinomycetes bacterium. RNAcentral describes it as "bacterial SSU rRNA". It matches the Rfam family "Bacterial small subunit ribosomal RNA", at positions 958 to 1385 of the family's 1533-position model. Lineage: Bacteria; Bacillati; Actinomycetota; Actinomycetes. The record is from RNAcentral.